UCGGGCAAAAUAUCAAGUAAUUUCGCAAACUAUUUAUACAUGUUUGCAUAUUCAAAAAGCGGUCUGGAAACACACACACAUGCAGCAAACCGCCGUUGUGAAAAAGGAAACCCGAUGAUGACAAUGUAAAACGAAACAGGAGUAUUCUACGGUUUUUUCUUUUCCGGAACACUUACACAUGCACUUAAAAAAGCCUUCGCAAUUGCAGUUCCUUUGAUGGAUGAUGAAGAAGAAAUCGGCCAGGAAUUUCUUCAACGUCGCCGCCGUCCGUCGCAGAACGAUAAUAAAAGCGAAAUGCAAAGACACACUGGCCAAAUACAACUACAACAAAGAUCGAAGAAAAGAGAGGAGAGAACAAGAACCACGAAAUGAGAGCAGUGUUGGCAAACGUGCGAAAUCAACAGAGAGAGCGAGUGGGCAUGCUCACAGAGAGAGAGAGAGGCAGUGGGAGCGCAAAAGACCGACAAUUUAUUUUACUUUUAUUAACAUGCGCGCAAAAUAUUUAUAUAAAUUGAUUACACACUUUUGGUCCUUUUA
Molecule: long non-coding RNA, 537 nt
Organism: Drosophila elegans
Lineage: Eukaryota; Metazoa; Arthropoda; Insecta; Diptera; Drosophilidae
Exons: 2
Source: RefSeq, a predicted model, not a curated record